This 409-nucleotide small RNA is filed under the name Pan troglodytes (chimpanzee). RNAcentral describes it as "processed transcript". Lineage: Eukaryota; Metazoa; Chordata; Mammalia; Primates; Hominidae. The record is from RNAcentral.
GCUAAACGACGAGAAGAGCGGCAAUGUCUGAAGCACGCCUUCCUACCUCUCCUCCGCCCGGCCCCGCUUCCGGGACUCCAGUUCACCCGCAGCACCCUGACUGCAGGUGCCAAGUCACUACUGCAAAGAAACUUCCUUUUCUCGAGCGGGGGUGGGACUUGGCCGGGUCCCGAGGCCCCUGGCCGGCGGGCUCGGACGUUAGGAGCAGAACCAGCUCCAGGUCCCGGUCUGUCCGGGCGUCGCUGCCCUCUGAAGCUCAGGCCGGACACCCAGUCCCUGGCCGAACAAGGCGCCGCGGCCCACCCACCCCGGUACCCGCCGUCCGACCCCGUUGCCCUGCACCUGAGGAUGUUGUCAGCAUAGAUUGUCAGGACGUUCUACAUAGAUGUGGAUGAAAGACUACAGAAGG